RNAcentral lists this ribosomal RNA (254 nucleotides) under uncultured bacterium. RNAcentral's name for it is "partial 16S ribosomal RNA". It matches the Rfam family "Bacterial small subunit ribosomal RNA", at positions 524 to 776 of the family's 1533-position model. The record is from RNAcentral.
UACGUAGGGGGCGAGCGUUGUCCGAAGUUACUGGGCGUAAAGCGCGCGUAGGCGGUCUCUUAAGUCCGGGGUGAAAGGUUCAGCGCUCAACGCGAACAGUGCCCUGGAGACUGGGGGACUUGAGUGUGGGAGGGGGCAGUGGAAUUCCGGGUGUAGCGGUGAAAUGCGCAGAUAUCCGGAGGAACACCGAUGGCGAAGGCAGCUGCCUGGCCUGACACUGACGCUGAGGUGCGAAAGCGUGGGGAGCGAACGGG